This 479-nucleotide ribosomal RNA is filed under the name uncultured bacterium. RNAcentral describes it as "bacterial SSU rRNA". It matches the Rfam family "Bacterial small subunit ribosomal RNA", at positions 29 to 507 of the family's 1533-position model. The record is from RNAcentral.
AUGAACGCUGGCGGCGUGCUUAACACAUGCAAGUUGAACGGAGCACCCCUGAAAGAGUUUUCGGACAAUGGAUGGGAAUGCUUAGUGGCGGACGGGUGAGUAACGCGUGAGUAACCUGCCUUGGAGAGUGGAAUAACACAGUGAAAAUUGUGCUAAUACCGCAUGAAGCAGUUGGGUCGCAUGGCUCUGACUGCCAAAGAUUUAUCGCUCUGAGAUGGACUCGCGUCUGAUUAGCUAGUUGGCGGGGUAACGGCCCACCAAGGCGACGAUCAGUAGCCGGACUGAGAGGUUGGCCGGCCACAUUGGGACUGAGACACGGCCCAGACUCCUACGGGAGGCAGCAGUGGGGAAUAUUGGGCAAUGAGCGCAAGCCUGACCCAGCAACGCCGCGUGAAGGAAGAAGGCUUUCGGGUUGUAAACUUCUUUUAUGAGGGACGAUAAUGACGGUACCUCAUGAAUAAGCCACGGCUAACUACGUG